UUGUCCCCUAAAUAGGGACUGGAAUGAACGGCUAAAUGAGGAUAAAACUGUCUCUUACGGACUAGCCAAUGAAAUUGAUCUUCCAGUACAAAAGCUGGAAUAAACCCAUAAGACGAGAAGACCCUGUGGAGCUUUAAAACCAAAGCCACUAAACAUGCCUCUUGGAUUUUUAGUUGGGGCGACUUUGGAGCAAAAAAAAACCUCCAAAACAUGAACUUAGUUAUUUAGACUAACACACCAAAAAACUCUACUAGACCCAGCAGUAUCCCAUACUGUCUGACCAAUGAACCAAGUUACCCCAGGGAUAACAGCGCCAUCCUCUUCUAGAGUCCCUAUCGACAAGAGGGUUUACGACCUCGAUGUUGGAUCAGGACACC
RNAcentral lists this ribosomal RNA (377 nucleotides) under Podarcis tauricus (Crimean wall lizard). RNAcentral describes it as "partial 16S ribosomal RNA". It matches the Rfam family "Bacterial large subunit ribosomal RNA", at positions 1969 to 2546 of the family's 2925-position model. Lineage: Eukaryota; Metazoa; Chordata; Lepidosauria; Squamata; Lacertidae. The record is from RNAcentral.